CACGUGAAAUUCCGUCGGAAUCUGGGAGGACCAUCUCCUAAGGCUAAAUACUCUCUAGUGACCGAUAGUGAACCAGUACCGUGAGGGAAAGGUGAAAAGCACCCCGGAAGGGGAGUGAAAUAGAACCUGAAACCGUGUGCUUACAAGUAGUCAGAGCCCGUUAAUGGGUGAUGGCGUGCCUUUUGUAGAAUGAACCGGCGAGUUACGAUUUGAUGCAAGGUUAAGCAGUAAAUGUGGAGCCGUAGCGAAAGCGAGUCUGAAUAGGGCGUUUAGUAUUUGGUCGUAGACCCGAAACCAGGUGAUCUACCCUUGGUCAGGUUGAAGUUCAGGUAACACUGAAUGGAGGACCGAACCGACUUACGUUGAAAAGUGAGCGGAUGAACUGAGGGUAGCGGAGAAAUUCCAAUCGAACCUGGAGAUAGCUGGUUCUCUCCGAAAUAGCUUUAGGGCUAGCCUCAAGUGAUGAUUAUUGGAGGUAGAGCACUGUUUGGACGAGGGGCCCCUCUCGGGUUACCGAAUUCAGACAAACUCCGAAUGCCAAUUAAUUUAACUUGGGAGUCAGAACAUGGGUGAUAAGGUCCGUGUUCGAAAGGGAAACAGCCCAGACCACCAGCUAAGGUCCCAAAAUAUAUGUUAAGUGGAAAAGGAUGUGGCGUUGCCCAGACAACUAGGAUGUUGGCUUAGAAGCAGCCAUCAUUUAAAGAGUGCGUAAUAGCUCACUAGUCGAGUGACACUGCGCCGAAAAUGUACCGGGGCUAAACAUAUUACCGAAGCUGUGGAUUGUCCUUUGGACAAUGGUAGGAGAGCGUUCUAAGGGCGUUGAAGCAUGAUCGUAAGGACAUGUGGAGCGCUUAGAAGUGAGAAUGCCGGUGUGAGUAGCGAAAGACGGGUGAGAAUCCCGUCCACCGAUUGACUAAGGUUUCCAGAGGAAGGCUCGUCCGCUCUGGGUUAGUCGGGUCCUAAGCUGAGGCCGACAGGCGUAGGCGAUGGAUAACAGGUUGAUAUUCCUGUACCACCUAUAAUCGUUUUAAUCGAUGGGGGGACGCAGUAGGAUAGGCGAAGCGUGCGAUUGGAUUGCACGUCUAAGCAGUAAGGCUGAGUAUUAGGCAAAUCCGGUACUCGUUAAGGCUGAGCUGUGAUGGGGAGAAGACAUUG
RNAcentral lists this ribosomal RNA (1155 nucleotides) under Staphylococcus aureus. Its description in RNAcentral is "partial 23S ribosomal RNA". It matches the Rfam family "Bacterial large subunit ribosomal RNA", at positions 423 to 1581 of the family's 2925-position model. The record is from RNAcentral. Lineage: Bacteria; Bacillati; Bacillota; Bacilli; Caryophanales; Staphylococcaceae.